AUUCUACAGAAUUGCAAGGUUGGUAGGAUUCUUCCUCGCAUAGUUGACACAACAAAGAAUGACCGGAGUGCAAUCCUCCGUGCAAGGUGCUGUGAGUAUGCACUUCUGAUACUGGAGUAUUGGGCAGAUGCCUCAGGGAUACAACGUUCAGCUGAUUUAUAUGAGGAUAUGAUAAAAUGCUACACUGUAGUAAAUGCGAUGAGCUUUUCUUCCAUUGGUGCUAUUUUUAGCCUAUCACAUAUAUCAUUAUUCUGAACUCAAUCCCUUCUUGUACGUCCAUAAAUCCAACACAACAUACACAUUUUCACAACAUUUAUCUACUAGUGGAGGUACCGACCAUCACUUGUCACUAUAACUCGAUGGUGAUCAGCGGUCGUGAGCUUUUAUGUUAUGUGUUCUGAUACUUGAGACUUUUAUUAUGACUAUGUAUAAUAUGUUGUCUCUUAUUUGUACUG
Zea mays is the source of this 455-nucleotide long non-coding RNA. RefSeq lists it as uncharacterized. NCBI's taxonomy places the organism in Eukaryota, Viridiplantae, Streptophyta, Magnoliopsida, Poales, Poaceae. The record is from RefSeq and is a predicted model, not a curated record. The transcript is spliced from 2 exons.